RNAcentral lists this ribosomal RNA (453 nucleotides) under uncultured bacterium. RNAcentral describes it as "bacterial SSU rRNA". It matches the Rfam family "Bacterial small subunit ribosomal RNA", at positions 340 to 786 of the family's 1533-position model. The record is from RNAcentral.
UACGGAAGGCAGCAGUGGGGAAUAUUGCACAAUGGGUGCAAGCCUGAUGCAGCCAUGCCGCGUGUAUGAAAAAGGCCUUCGGGUUGUAAAGUACUUUCAGUCGUGAGGAAGGUGUUAAGGUUAAUAACCUUAGCAAUUGACGUUAGCGACAGAAGAAGCACCGGCUAACUCCGUGCCAGCAGCCGCGGUAAUACGGAGGGUGCGAGCGUUAAUCGGAAUUACUGGGCGUAAAGGGCACGCAGGCGGUUAAUUAAGUUGGAUGUGAAAUCCCCGGGCUUAACCUGGGAAUGGCAUUCAAGACUGGUUAGCUAGAGUCUUGUAGAGGGGGUAGAAUUCCAUGUGUAGCGGUGAAAUGCGUAGAGAUGUGGAGGAAUACCGGUGGCGAAGGCGGCCCCUGGACAAAGACUGACGCUCAUGUGCGAAAGCGUGGGGAGCAAACGAGGGAUAGAUACC